This is a long non-coding RNA of Silurus meridionalis, 930 nucleotides long. RefSeq lists it as uncharacterized. The transcript is spliced from 3 exons. The record is from RefSeq and is a predicted model, not a curated record. NCBI's taxonomy places the organism in Eukaryota, Metazoa, Chordata, Actinopteri, Siluriformes, Siluridae.
CGUUCUACCUGCGCUAGCUUCUGUUUGUUCAUGAAGCACGUUAUGUGUGUGUGUCUAUGGUAAGUGGUAAAUGUACAAAAAAAUAUAAAAAUCAAGCGACUAAGAAAUGAAGAAUUCCCUUCGUUCAUGCGUUCCUCCCUGCCCCGCUUCGGGGGGGAUCUCCGUGUCGCUUGUGCUCCCACUCCUCCUGGUUCUGGUCCGUUUGAGGACCUGGGGCUCGCAGCUGGUCCAGCAUUCUGUCACAGAUUCAGAAGCAUGCCUUUCGGCAGUUUCCUGCCCUUUCUAUGAGAGCGCUCAGUUCUGCUUCUCUUCCUCUGAGGCCCUCAGAGACAACCUCACCCAGUCCCCUCCGAGGAGCUAUUAGAGGCCCCAGACCAGGAAAAUCUGAACCGACUGUGUCCGGUGCGAGGACUGGACUUAUACGUCCACUGAACAAGUCUGUGGAAAAAGUCAGAGCAACUUUUCUGAGGAGAGGCCUUCCUGCGAACCAGCAGACGCUCAGCAGAUGGAUUGUGGAUCUAUUUCAUCCUCCUAUGAGUGCUCUGGUCACCACGCUCCUUUUGGGGUCAGAGUUCAUUUGACCUGGAGUGUGGCGGAGUUGAGGUGGCGACAGAGAGACAUGGAAAUGUUCGAUGAUGGAUUUGUUUAUGAAGGAGCUGAACAUGAGCACAUCCCUCACAGCAACAGGGGGGCCAAUACUUAUUUCAUAUCCACGUGUGCAUCUAAAAAACUAUUUGUGGACACGAGUUAGAAAAAAUAUAAUGCUUUAAUAUUUUUUUUUAAAUGACAGAAUCUGCAAUAAUAAAGAUUCGCCUUCAUUCUGCAUAAAAACACAGUUAACAUGAUAAAUGUUUUUAUAAAAAUAAAAAAGUGUGCAAUAAACAUCAUAAAUCUCAUAGUGUCCUAAACACACACACACACACACACACA